This 433-nucleotide ribosomal RNA is filed under the name uncultured bacterium. RNAcentral's name for it is "partial 16S ribosomal RNA". It matches the Rfam family "Bacterial small subunit ribosomal RNA", at positions 29 to 507 of the family's 1533-position model. The record is from RNAcentral.
AACGAACGCUGGCGGCAUGCCUAACACAUGCAAGUCGAACGAGACCUUCGGGUCUAGUGGCGCACGGGUGCGUAACGCGUGGGAACCUGCCCUUAGGUUCGGAAUAACUCCCCGAAAGGGGUGCUAAUACCGGAUAAUGUCUUCGGACCAAAGAUUUAUCGCCUUUGGAUGGGCCCGCGUUGGAUUAGCUAGUUGGUAGGGUAAAAGCCUACCCAGGCGACGAUCCAUAGCUGGUCUGAGAGGAUGAUCAGCCACACUGGGACUGAGACACGGCCCAGACUCCUACGGGAGGCGGCAGUGGGGAAUAUUGGACAAUGGGCGAAAGCCUGAUCCAGCAAUGCCGCGUGAGUGAUGAAGGCCUUAGGGUUGUAAAGCUCUUUUACCCGGGAUGAUAAUGACAGUACCGGGAGAAUAAGCUCCGGCUAACUCCGUG